GUAGGGGGCUAGCGUUGUCCGGAAUCAUUGGGCGUAAAGCGCGCGUAGGCGGCCCGGUAAGUCCGCUGUAAAAGUCAAAGGCUCAACCUUUGAAUGUCAGUGGAUACUGCCGGGCUAGAGUCCGGAAGAGGCGAGUGGAAUUCCUGGUGUAGCGGUGGAAUGCGCAGAUAUCAGGAGGAACACCAACGGCGAAGGCAGCUCGCUGGGACGGUACUGACGCUGAGGCGCGAAAGCGUGGGGAGCGAACAGGAUUAGAUACCCUGGUAGUCCACGCCGUAAACGAUGGGCACUAGGUGUGGGAGGUGUCGACUCCUUCCGUGCCGGCGCUAACGCAUUAAGUGCCCCGCCUGGGGAGUACGGCCGCAAGGCUAAA
This 373-nucleotide ribosomal RNA is filed under the name uncultured bacterium. RNAcentral describes it as "bacterial SSU rRNA". It matches the Rfam family "Bacterial small subunit ribosomal RNA", at positions 527 to 898 of the family's 1533-position model. The record is from RNAcentral.